GCGGCGGCCAACCGCGCGCCCGCGCGCGUCUGGACGAGCCGCUGCCAUUCUCUUAGCCAGUCGUGACAAUCCGGCUGCGGCUGCCGCUGUCUCUAAAGCAGGGCCUGGCCUUGGCAGGCCCCCGCACAUCUGUCUCUGGCCCCACCGCUGGAGUCUCUCAGUUCCCGGAGGAUCCGAAGGUGGAGAGCAGGGAGCAGUGUGGACCGUCCCUGAAGGGCCUUAGGAGCUCAAAUUAUAAGUCUUAGAUCGAAUGGACUGGAAACAGGAAGUGUUGAGAUUUAUGGAUUCCAAAGCUGGAAGAAAUUCAAGAUGUCUACCAUUCAAUGAGUUGUCUGUCAUUGAAUCCUUCUACAAUACUCUUUCCUGGUAGUUAGGAUUAUUCGUUUGAUCACCUCAAUAAAGGAAAUACCAUUAAAUCUUGUGUCUGUCCAAGCCAUCACCAGUUAAGUCCUAAAGCUUCUGAAUAAAGCUGAACAGACAGUAAAGACCAGGAAAUCCCUGCUGUGUGCUGGAGGAGGCAUUGAGAAGUGCUAAGAUGUGAAGUCUCAACCAGUAGUACUGUGAAACCUGCUCAUCAGGAGUGUGUGUAUGUAAAUGAGAUUGAUUGGGUCACGAGAUCAGAGAAUCUGGCCUGUCUGAAAUCUUCAGUAACUUAAUGACUUGAGCAGACAAUGGUGCAGAUAAAGUCCAAAGGCGAUAUUCUGAAGAAGGUGCUGUUGCUCAUGGAGACAGACCAUUUUGUGUUAUUUAAGCCUUCAACUAACUGGAUGAUGUCUACCAAUUUUAAUGGGGGUAAUUUGUUUUAUUUAGUGGUCACUGGUUUAAAUGAAAUUCUAUCCAAAAUACCUUCCAACCUGCCAUAUGGAAUUAGCCAUCAUAGAUACUAACUCAAAAUGAGUCCCC
This 903-nucleotide long non-coding RNA is filed under the name Cricetulus griseus (Chinese hamster). RNAcentral describes it as "lncRNA (ENSCGRG00015016292.2)". The record is from RNAcentral. Lineage: Eukaryota; Metazoa; Chordata; Mammalia; Rodentia; Cricetidae.